AAUUAAUGUUCACCAGUAUAGAAUCACACCUGCAUACCAUUUACAACUUAUCCAUGCAUGGCUAACUCAGUGAAUCCAUUGGCUAUUAUUAUAGUGAACACUUCUCCCUGUGAUUUAAAUACCCAGUCACUAAGAAUUAGAACUCAUUGCAGAAGACAUUUACAGCAGAUAUCAUUGCUGAAGAAAUCAGAUGGGGACAGCGAACUUGGUUUUCUUUAACACCAAGCCAUUGAUAACAUCAAAGAAAAAUUUGCUAAAAUUCAUCAUUAUUGUCUCAUCACCAGGAAGAUGAAAAAAGAACCAGUCAGUAUAAAAAGUGCAGAAUUUCGCAAGUACAAUCUGAAUGAACUUUUUUCCGAAGAAGUGGAUCAGUACCUCUCACCCUCCCCAAAAAAAUACAUACAUGUAAAAAUAAUCAGGCUCCCAAGUAACUUUAUUAAAAAGAAUUAAAAAUCAAUCAAUUAAAAAUAAAAUCAACCAAUUAAAAAUCUAAUUAAUUAUAAAUAUUACAAUCUUAUUGUUU
Molecule: long non-coding RNA, 523 nt
Organism: Magallana angulata
Lineage: Eukaryota; Metazoa; Mollusca; Bivalvia; Ostreida; Ostreidae
Exons: 3
Source: RefSeq, a predicted model, not a curated record